This 2799-nucleotide ribosomal RNA is filed under the name Staphylococcus epidermidis. RNAcentral describes it as "bacterial LSU rRNA". It matches the Rfam family "Bacterial large subunit ribosomal RNA". Lineage: Bacteria; Bacillati; Bacillota; Bacilli; Caryophanales; Staphylococcaceae. The record is from RNAcentral.
CAUGAGUUAUGUCAUGUUAUCGACAUGUGAAUUCAUAGCAUGUCAGAAGGCAGACCCGGAGAACUGAAACAUCUUAGUACCCGGAGGAAGAGAAAGAAAAAUCGAUUCCCUGAGUAGCGGCGAGCGAAACGGGAAGAGCCCAAACCAACAAGCUUGCUUGUUGGGGUUGUAGGACACUCUAUACGGAGUUACAAAAGAACAUGUUAGACGAAUCAUCUGGAAAGAUGAAUCAAAGAAGGUAAUAAUCCUGUAGUCGAAAACAUAUUCUCUCUUGAGUGGAUCCUGAGUACGACGGAGCACGUGAAAUUCCGUCGGAAUCUGGGAGGACCAUCUCCUAAGGCUAAAUACUCUCUAGUGACCGAUAGUGAACCAGUACCGUGAGGGAAAGGUGAAAAGUACCCCGGAAGGGGAGUGAAAGAGAACUUGAAACCGUGUGCUUACAAGUAGUCAGAGCCCGUUAAUGGGUGAUGGCGUGCCUUUUGUAGAAUGAACCGGCGAGUUACGAUCUGAUGCAAGGUUAAGCAGCAAAUGUGGAGCCGCAGCGAAAGCGAGUCUGAAUAGGGCGUUGAGUAUUUGGUCGUAGACCCGAAACCAGGUGAUCUACCCUUGGUCAGGUUGAAGUUCAGGUAACACUGAAUGGAGGACCGAACCGACUUACGUUGAAAAGUGAGCGGAUGAACUGAGGGUAGCGGAGAAAUUCCAAUCGAACUUGGAGAUAGCUGGUUCUCUCCGAAAUAGCUUUAGGGCUAGCCUCAAGUGAUGAUUAUUGGAGGUAGAGCACUGUUUGGACGAGGGGCCCCUCUCGGGUUACCGAAUUCAGACAAACUCCGAAUGCCAAUUAAUUUAACUUGGGAGUCAGAACAUGGGUGAUAAGGUCCGUGUUCGAAAGGGAAACAGCCCAGACCACCAGCUAAGGUCCCAAAAUAUAUGUUAAGUGGAAAAGGAUGUGGCGUUGCCCAGACAACUAGGAUGUUGGCUUAGAAGCAGCCAUCAUUUAAAGAGUGCGUAAUAGCUCACUAGUCGAGUGACACUGCGCCGAAAAUGUACCGGGGCUAAACAUAUUACCGAAGCUGUGGAUUGUCCUUUGGACAAUGGUAGGAGAGCGUUCUAAGGGCGUCGAAGCAUGAUCGCAAGGACAUGUGGAGCGCUUAGAAGUGAGAAUGCCGGUGUGAGUAGCGAAAGACGGGUGAGAAUCCCGUCCACCGAUUGACUAAGGUUUCCAGAGGAAGGCUCGUCCGCUCUGGGUUAGUCGGGUCCUAAGCUGAGGCCGACAGGCGUAGGCGAUGGAUAACAGGUUGAUAUUCCUGUACCACCUAGUAUCGUUUUAAUCGAUGGGGGGACGCAGUAGGAUAGGCGAAGCGUGCUGUUGGAGUGCACGUCCAAGCAGUAAGGCUGAGUGUUAGGCAAAUCCGGCACUCAUAAGGCUGAGCUGUGAUGGGGAGAGGAAAUUGUUUCCUCGAGUCGUUGAUUUCACACUGCCGAGAAAAGCCUCUAGAUAGAUAACAGGUGCCCGUACCGCAAACCGACACAGGUAGUCAAGAUGAGAAUUCUAAGGUGAGCGAGCGAACUCUCGUUAAGGAACUCGGCAAAAUGACCCCGUAACUUCGGGAGAAGGGGUGCUCUUUAGGGUUCACGCCCAGAAGAGCCGCAGUGAAUAGGCCCAAGCGACUGUUUAUCAAAAACACAGGUCUCUGCUAAACCGUAAGGUGAUGUAUAGGGGCUGACGCCUGCCCGGUGCUGGAAGGUUAAGAGGAGUGGUUAGCUUCUGCGAAGCUACGAAUCGAAGCCCCAGUAAACGGCGGCCGUAACUAUAACGGUCCUAAGGUAGCGAAAUUCCUUGUCGGGUAAGUUCCGACCCGCACGAAAGGCGUAACGAUUUGGGCACUGUCUCAACGAGAGACUCGGUGAAAUCAUAGUACCUGUGAAGAUGCAGGUUACCCGCGACAGGACGGAAAGACCCCGUGGAGCUUUACUGUAGCCUGAUAUUGAAAUUCGGCACAGCUUGUACAGGAUAGGUAGGAGCCUUUGAAACGUGAGCGCUAGCUUACGUGGAGGCGUUGGUGGGAUACUACCCUAGCUGUGUUGGCUUUCUAACCCGCACCACUUAUCGUGGUGGGAGACAGUGUCAGGCGGGCAGUUUGACUGGGGCGGUCGCCUCCUAAAAGGUAACGGAGGCGCUCAAAGGUUCCCUCAGAAUGGUUGGAAAUCAUUCAUAGAGUGUAAAGGCAUAAGGGAGCUUGACUGCGAGACCUACAAGUCGAGCAGGGUCGAAAGACGGACUUAGUGAUCCGGUGGUUCCGCAUGGAAGGGCCAUCGCUCAACGGAUAAAAGCUACCCCGGGGAUAACAGGCUUAUCUCCCCCAAGAGUUCACAUCGACGGGGAGGUUUGGCACCUCGAUGUCGGCUCAUCGCAUCCUGGGGCUGUAGUCGGUCCCAAGGGUUGGGCUGUUCGCCCAUUAAAGCGGUACGCGAGCUGGGUUCAGAACGUCGUGAGACAGUUCGGUCCCUAUCCGUCGUGGGCGUAGGAAAUUUGAGAGGAGCUGUCCUUAGUACGAGAGGACCGGGAUGGACAUACCUCUGGUGUACCAGUUGUCGUGCCAACGGCAUAGCUGGGUAGCUAUGUAUGGACGGGAUAAGUGCUGAAAGCAUCUAAGCAUGAAGCCCCCCUCAAGAUGAGAUUUCCCAACUUCGGUUAUAAGAUCCCUCGAAGAUGACGAGGUUAAUAGGUUCGAGGUGGAAGCGUGGUGACACGUGGAGCUGACGAAUACUAAUCGAUCGAAGACUUAAUCAAUUUUUAAA